GGACAGACAUGAGGUACGCUUUGGAGGGGAGGAGAGACAGGACAGACAUGAGGUACGCUUUGGAGGGGAGGAGAGACAGGACAGACAUGAGGUACGCUUUGGAGAGGAGGAGAGACAGGACAGACAUGAGGUACGCUUUGGAGGGGAGGAGAGACAGGACAGACAUGAGGUACGCUUUGGAGGGGAGACAGGACAGACAUGAGGUACGCUUUGGAGGGGAGACAGGACAGACAUGAGGUACGCUUUGGAGGGGAGGAGAGACAGGACAGACAUGAGGUACGCUUUGGAGGGGAGGAGAGACAGGACAGACAUGAGGUACGCUUUGGAGGGGAGGAGAGACAGGACAGACAUGAGGUACGCUUUGGAGGAGAGACAGGACAGACAUGAGGUACGCUUUGGAGGGGAGGAGAGACAUGGCAGACAUGAGGUACGCUUUGGAGGGGAGGAGAGACAGGACAGACAUGAGGUACGCUUUGGAGGGGAGGAGAGACAGGACAGACAUGAGGUACGCUUUGGAGGGGAGGAGAGACAGGACAGACAUGAGGUACGCUUUGGAGGGGAGGAGAGACAGGACAGACAUGAGGUACGCUUUGGAGGGGAGGAGAGACAGGACAGACAUGAGGUACGCUUUGGAGGGGAGGAGAGACAGGACAGACAUGAGGUACGCUUUGGAGGGGAGGAGAGACAGGACAGACAUGAGGUACGCUUUGGAGGGGAGGAGAGACAGGACAGACAUGAGGUACGCUUUGGAGGGGAGGAGAGACAGGACAGA
Oncorhynchus keta (chum salmon) is the source of this 772-nucleotide long non-coding RNA. RefSeq lists it as uncharacterized. The transcript has 3 exons. Lineage: Eukaryota; Metazoa; Chordata; Actinopteri; Salmoniformes; Salmonidae. The record is from RefSeq and is a predicted model, not a curated record.